UGGCAGAUUUGACCGAGACGAUCAAAACUUAGGAUGUCUAGACAAAUUUAGGCGUCCACGUAGGUAGGCCGCAACUCCAAACUUGCGUAGACGCCUAAAUUUAUCCAGAUAUCCCAAGGUUUGGUAGUCUCAGUCAAAUCUACCA
This is a non-coding RNA of Marchantia polymorpha subsp. ruderalis, 145 nucleotides long. The record is from the annotation of a GenBank genome assembly. NCBI's taxonomy places the organism in Eukaryota, Viridiplantae, Streptophyta, Marchantiopsida, Marchantiales, Marchantiaceae.